Molecule: non-coding RNA, 28 nt
Filed under: Bombyx mori (domestic silkworm)
Lineage: Eukaryota; Metazoa; Arthropoda; Insecta; Lepidoptera; Bombycidae
Source: RNAcentral
UGAAGUAGUUGAUAGAGAUGGCAGCAGC